Molecule: long non-coding RNA, 1448 nt
Filed under: Nicotiana tabacum (common tobacco)
Lineage: Eukaryota; Viridiplantae; Streptophyta; Magnoliopsida; Solanales; Solanaceae
Description: long non-coding RNA (NTAB_LNC006249)
Source: RNAcentral
UUAGAACUUUUUAUUGUCAGAAACCACCAGAAGACUAUAGUACUAACCCUAAUUUUCAGAAACAAUUCUCAAUCCAUUUUCAUCGUCCUAUUUAUACACAAACUUAGCAAAGAUAGCACCGAAAGAAAGCUAUGAAGAUUUAUCAAUCUCAACAUCAAAGAGGUAAGAGAAAGCUGCUUCUGAUUUCAGUAAUAGAACCAUUUCCUAAAGUUGUUUUUAUUUUAUUUCCAAGUUUCAACCAAAGGGAAACCAUCAAAAUCCAUCUUCGUACUAACAAUGAUAUAACUUAUAUUAGAUUGUUUUUGAAUUAUAUUAGUCUGCUGGAAACUCUUUUUGCUGAAAUCUUGGUUGAUAUCCUAAUUCUGUUGACAAGAAUUAGCCCCAAAUUUCACGGGAUUGGGGUUGCGAGGAAGCUUAAGAGUGUUCUCUUCUCCUUUAAGUUGCUUUCAAGUACUGUUUUGAUAUUUUGGAAUUAUUUUCAUUGCUUAGGCAUUCGCUUAUCUGUGUUCCCAGCUGCCUUAAUCAUGAUUUCCGCAGAUUCUUGUUUUAUGUAUUAAUUUGGUUUUUUUAUGUUGUCUCCUCUUGUCGUUUUGUCUUUUUGUUUUCUUGAGCCGAGUAUUUUUCGGAAACAGCCUCUCUACUCCUUUGGGUAGGGGUAAGGUCUGCGUACACACUACCCUCCCCAUACCCCAUUAGUGGGAUUAUACUGGGUUGUUAUUGUUGUAUAUAAAAACAAGUAUAUACAAGCAAACAUGCAGAAAUGCAAUUUAGUCCAUCUAUGACAUGUUAUAUGAAUGAAAGGGCAAAGAUUAACGGACUAUUGCUAAAUUAUGUUGUUUUAUGUGUAGGAGCAUCGGAAGACAACGACGAGUGAAGGUUGCAAAAAAAGAUGACGAAAAUGCAAGAAAAUAGCAAAAAAUGCCAAGUACCCAAACCGCGCUACAGACCAGGCUUCGCGAGGUCUAUAUCCAGCUUGACCGCGCUACAGACCAGGCUUCGCGAGGUCUAUAGCCAGGUUGACCACGAUCGCGGGUUAAAAGUCUCCAACCCGAAUUUGGACUCAAGGACUUCAACUCUAGCCUAUAAAUACUCCUUAAACAUGUCUAAGAGAAUAGGAGGACGUUUUUAGUGCAAAUUCGACCUAAAGAAGACGCUUUUGGAGAGAGGAUUCGACUUAAGGAGGUAAGAACACGCUAGGAGCAAGGCUAAGAAUUCUUCUACGAGUUUUUCACUUCCUUCUUCCUAUUUCCAUUAUUGGUUAUGAUCAAUUCUAGUAUUAUACUUUAGCAUACUAUUAUGAAUAGCUAAUUUGUUAUCUAGGGUUUUGAUGGAACCUUUUGUGGGAUGGAUUCUUAUUACGUUUUUAUAUAAUUGAGUCGUUGGAUUUCUCUUCUUGUUCAACUACGUGUUUAUUGAUGUUGAUUGAAUGGCCAUCAAUUGACUGUGCC